RNAcentral lists this ribosomal RNA (253 nucleotides) under uncultured bacterium. RNAcentral's name for it is "partial 16S ribosomal RNA". It matches the Rfam family "Bacterial small subunit ribosomal RNA", at positions 524 to 776 of the family's 1533-position model. The record is from RNAcentral.
GACAGAGGGGGCAAGCGUUGCUCGGAAUUACUGGGCGUAAAGCGCGCGCAGGUGGUCUGGUAAGUCGGGUGUGAAAUCCCGGGGCUCAACCUCGGAAGUGCACACGAUACUGCCGGACUCGAGUACUGGAGAGGAGAGCGGAAUUCCCGGUGUAGAGGUGAAAUUCGUAGAUAUCGGGAGGAACACCAGUGGCGAAGGCGGGUCUCUGGGCAUUCCCUGACGCUGAGGCGCGAAAGCGUGGGGAGCAAACGGG